RNAcentral lists this ribosomal RNA (117 nucleotides) under Sinocyclocheilus anshuiensis. Lineage: Eukaryota; Metazoa; Chordata; Actinopteri; Cypriniformes; Cyprinidae. The record is from RNAcentral.
UGACACAGCCAUAUCACCCUGUAGCCCAAGACUGGUUGCCCACUGAAGCUAAGCAGGGUUGAGCCUGGUUAGUACCUGGAUGAGAGACCUCCUGAGAAAACUAGGUUGCUGCCUGCA